UACCAGCUCUCCGAGUGGUAGGGAUGAUUAUUGGGCUUAAAGCGUCCGUAGCCGGCUUAGCAAGUUUCCUGUUAAAUUCAGCGACCUAAUCGUUGAGCCGCGGGAAAUACUACUAGGCUAGGAGGCGGGAGAGGUCGACGGUACUUCUGGGGUAGGGGUGAAAUCCUAUAAUCCCGGGAGGACCACCAGUGGCGAAGGCUGUCGACUAGAACGCGCUCGACGGUGAGGGACGAAAGCUGGGGGAGCGAACCGGAUUAGAUACCCGGGUAGUCCCAGCUGUAAACGAUGCGGGCUAGGUGUUGAGGUGGCUACGAGCCACUUCAGUGCCGCAGGGAAGCCAUUAAGCCCGCCGCCUGGGGAGUACGGCCGCAAGGCUGAAACUUAAAGGAAUUGGCGGGGGAGCACCACAAGGCGUGAAGCUUGCGGUUC
Molecule: ribosomal RNA, 429 nt
Filed under: uncultured archaeon
Lineage: Archaea
Description: bacterial SSU rRNA
Rfam family: Archaeal small subunit ribosomal RNA
Source: RNAcentral